UAAUACGAAGGGGGCUAGCGUUGUUCGGAAUUACUGGGCGUAAAGGGCGUGUAGGCGGCCCGUUAAGACAGGUGUGAAAUUCCUGGGCUCAACCCAGGACGUGCGCCUGUGACUGGCGGGCUUGAGUCCGGGAGAGGAUGGUGGAACUCCCAGUGUAGAGGUGAAAUUCGUAGAUAUUGGGAAGAACACCCGUGGCGAAGGCGGCCAUCUGGACCGGUACUGACGCUAAGGCGCGACAGCGUGGGGAGCAAACAGGAUUAGAUACCCUGGUAGUCCACGCCGUAAACGAUGAGUGCUAGACGUUGGGAAGCCUAGCUUUUCAGUGUCGCAGCUAACGCAUUAAGCACUCCGCCUGGGGAGUACGGCCGCAAGGUUGAAACUUAAAUGAAUUGACGG
This 396-nucleotide ribosomal RNA is filed under the name uncultured bacterium. RNAcentral's name for it is "bacterial SSU rRNA". It matches the Rfam family "Bacterial small subunit ribosomal RNA", at positions 521 to 916 of the family's 1533-position model. The record is from RNAcentral.